Phalacrocorax carbo (great cormorant) is the source of this 1121-nucleotide non-coding RNA. NCBI's taxonomy places the organism in Eukaryota, Metazoa, Chordata, Aves, Suliformes, Phalacrocoracidae. The record is from RefSeq and is a predicted model, not a curated record.
CCGUGCGGGGGCGGGGCGGGGCGGGACCGUGCGGGGCGGCGGGGGUGGCCGGGGGGAGCCCGGGGCUGCGGGGAGCCCCAGUGGGCUGAGGGGAGCCGGGGGCUGAGGAGGACAUGGGACUGAGGCGAUCCCUGAGACUGAGGGGGACACGGGGCUGCAGGGAGCCCCUGGGCUGAGGGGAGCCCUGGGCUGAGGGGGACACGGGGCUGCAGGGAGCCCCUGGGCUGAGGGGAGCCCUGGGCUGAGGGGGACACGGGGCUGCAGGGAGCCCCUGGGCUGAGGGGAGCCCUGGGCUGAGGGGGACACGGGGCUGCAGGGAGCCCCUGGGCUGAGGGGGACACGGGGCUGCAGGGAGCCCCUGGGCUGAGGGGAGCCCUGGGCUGAGGGGAACAAGGGGCCAAGCGGGGCUGUGCCAAGCCCAGGGCCAAGGAGGAGCCGGGGGGGCCAGAGGAACCUCAAAGCUAAGGGGCGCAGGCCAAGGCUAACCUUUCUCAUCUCUUCCGCAGGGUGAUUGCGGGGGGUCGAGCAGGGCAUAUAACACCUCUCUGUUUUAAACCCGAGUCUCGUUUCUGGAGAGAUUCAGGCUCCUCACCGCUGUGUCGGGGGCCUCCUUCCCACUGAAACCUCACGGCGGGAGCCCAGGUGCUCCCAGCACUUUUGGAGAGCCGCAGCACUGCCACCAUGGGCACUGGGCCACCUGCACUGCGCGAGCCUUGCCUGGAACGGGACAACGGGAAUAGUAAGGUUCGCGGCUCCGCAGGGCGAAGCAGUCAGCGUUCAGGAACCCGAGCAGCAGCAAACGCCGCGCAGCAUAUACACGGAUCCCUCGGAUUUAAGUCCCAGAUGUGACCGGCCUGUCCCAAAUGGGUAGCGCUGCGCUGCUGCGCUCGCGUGGAUCCAUGGAACCUCGAGCACCUGCUUGUUCAGCACUUGCCAGAGCAGUGUUUUGAGCUCUGAAAGGGAAAAUGACCAUGUAUAUUAUUAAAAACAGUGACUAAAAUGUGUGUGUUAAGUCAAACAUAAAACAAAGAGGACUAUCGACGCUUUUUUUUUUAAUUUAUGAAAGCGUUGGUGGUUUUUUUGAAAUAAAGGUGGUUUCAUUAGAAGCUCCUCCUGCAUGA